CUUUCCCUCUUGCACAAUCAACAAUUUCAUCAGAAUGGAUUCUUUUCUCAAACAAAUGAAAACAAGGAUUUCCGGUGGAGAAGAUAAUUAUAAUUAUAAAAGAGAAGGAAAAAAGAAAGCAGUGUCAUUCAAAGAAGAUAAAAAGAAGUCACCAAAUUGGUUCAAGAUGAAUGCCGGAGAUGCUAGUGAUAGUGAGUUUUGCGACUGACAGUUGCAGCGGCGGCUUAUGCAAUUACAACUC
Dioscorea cayenensis subsp. rotundata (Guinea yam) is the source of this 241-nucleotide long non-coding RNA. RefSeq lists it as uncharacterized. Lineage: Eukaryota; Viridiplantae; Streptophyta; Magnoliopsida; Dioscoreales; Dioscoreaceae. The transcript is spliced from 3 exons. The record is from RefSeq and is a predicted model, not a curated record.